Magnolia sinica is the source of this 1920-nucleotide RNA transcript. It is a transcript of the gene named outer envelope pore protein 16-2, chloroplastic-like, with no coding region annotated. The transcript is spliced from 3 exons. Lineage: Eukaryota; Viridiplantae; Streptophyta; Magnoliopsida; Magnoliales; Magnoliaceae. The record is from RefSeq and is a predicted model, not a curated record.
GGGGUCCUUGGAGAGAAAGGAAGUUCUUCCUUCAUAUGAGGCAUGUGAUGUUUGGAACUUUGAACAAUCUAUCUAUCUUUUAAGAACUUGCAUUUCCUUCAUUUUGACCAGGUUUUGACUAACUAAGCAUCUGAAUUUCUUUGGGAGAGGAGAUGAUCUUCUAGCAAGAUUUAGACAGCAGCAUAUUGUUUUAAAUAAGCAUUGUAUAUAGUACAUAUGAUAAAAUACUGUUUGCUUAGAUUGCAGAUGGAAUUUGAUGCAUGUUCUAUCUUUUCUUAAAAAUUCGUAGUAUACUUGCAUUAUCACUUUCCUUGCUGGUGAAACGUACCUUUUCUGUUCUUAAUGAAUAGCUACCAAUUCGUAAUUUGCGCAAGCUUGCUGAUUUCCUUGUUUGGAAGUUCUUUGGUCAACUAGAUAUGAGUUCUAGGCCAGUUCUUCGCAUUUUCACUGACGACCACAACAAAAUUGGUGAAUUAUAGUUUUCCUAGUUGCAUCAUGUAAUUUGUGCAGUUCAAUAGAAUGAUCUAAACUGUUCAUUGAGUUUAGAACACGUUUCAAGGGGUACCAUGUAAAAAUAAGACUGACUGGAUGAUACUAAUCCACCUAGAUUCAAUUUUUUUCAGCUUAUGAAGGCCUCUCUAAACCAGCCCUUUGCAUUGCAGAUAUUGUCUAUUUGUUUCAAAAUAUCUUUUUAAACAGUAGUUUCUCUUAUUCUCUUCUCCAUUUCCUUUUGCUCUUGAUUUGCAGCCUUGUCUUUCCGAAUGGUAAGAUUCCUCCAAUCCUUAAUUUGCUAGAUAUUUCCUUGUUGAGAAAUUGUGAUUCUUUUAUAUCCGACUUAUUUUAGUAUCCGUAUUAGUUUUUUUUUUCAUGUUUCUGCAGUUGAAAUAUAAUUCAUGUUUAUUUUUUUGAUGUCCUUUAUUUUUUUAACGUUCUUGUUUGACUUUUCCUUGUAUACUUGUGUUGUCCAAGAAAGAAAUAGAUUUUGUAUCAUUUAUGGUUUGCUCUAACCUGAACUGAAUUUAUUUUUUUUUCCACAUGAAAUUGAAAGUCCUGGAUAGGGAUCCUGCAGAAUUUGGAUUAAGCUCUAAUCUCGAUUUUGAUGACCCAAUCCGUUGGACCAAGCCCUACUCUUCUCUUUCUCUCGUGCACUUAUACCUUAUUUGUUUGGACAAGUCAUGCGUCCUUUCACAGAAAAAUCGUGCAACAUUAUAAGGAUUUUCCUUUUCUCAGGGGCUAUGGGUACAUCUCACUUGAGAAUGUAUUAUUUUUUGCCAGGACUUAUCAGGUAAGCCAGACCAGAUUUAUUCCUUCGUCUUUGUAAUUGAUUUCUCACUAGUAUGUUACUUUUGUCAUCAUGUUAUUUUAUUUUAAGCUGACUUUGCUGUCAGAUUUUUGCAUUGUUGAUUUAUUACUAAUUUUAUGCAAACUCAAAAUAAGCUUCUUUUGAAAGGUUAUUGUUCAAACUUGAAGGGAAGCGAGCCAUGUGGGAAUACCCAUUUGCUGUUGCGGGCAUCAAUGUUUCAUUUAUGCUUAUUCUAAGGAGAGUUGCAUCAAGUAAGAGAGAAUCACGAUCUCCAACUAGCACAGGUGCAGACCUUAAAGCCCCACUUGGUCUAGAACGAGCUCCCCUCGGGUCAGGAGUGCAUCGAGCAUAUCCAAAAACCAGGUGAGUCAACUAACAACAGUCCCCCAUAUUUAGGUACAUAAAAGGCCAUCACAUUGUGGAGGUCUUCAUCUGCUUGACGGACUUUCAUUGAAUUGCCUUUUUAUUUUGAAGUCUUCCAUUGCAGAUUUUAAUUUUUAUUGUCAGGUUUGUAAGUCAGAUAAAUAAUGUUUCAAAUUACAUCAUGGUUGUUUUUACUAUCUUUUGAUUCUUAAAUGAAUAUGGCUUAAAUAUAAUUUUUUCUUUAUUUUAUUUUA